This 255-nucleotide ribosomal RNA is filed under the name uncultured bacterium. RNAcentral describes it as "partial 16S ribosomal RNA". It matches the Rfam family "Bacterial small subunit ribosomal RNA", at positions 524 to 776 of the family's 1533-position model. The record is from RNAcentral.
AACGUAGGUACCGAGCGUUAUCCGGAUUUACGUGGCGUAAAGCGUGUUCAGGCGGCCUGGCAAGUCGGGCAUGAAAUCUCUCGGCUCAACCGGGAUGAGGCUGUCCGAUACUGCUGGGCUUGAGGACGGUAGAGGGUGGUGGAAUUCCGCGUGUAGUGGUGAAAUGCGUAGAUAUGCGGGAGGAACACCAGUGGCGAAGGCGGCCACCUGGACCGUCCCUGACGCUCAAACACGAAAGCUAGGGUAGCGAACGGG